UACAGGGGGGGCAAGCGUUGUUCGGAAUUACUGGGCGUAAAGGGCUUGUAGGUGGCCAACUAAGUCCGACGUGAAAUCCCUAGGCUUAACCUAGGAACUGCGUCGGAUACUGGAUGGCUUGAAUCCGGGAGAGGGAUGCGGAAUUCCAGGUGUAGCGGUGAAAUGCGUAGAUAUCUGGAGGAACACCGGUGGCGAAGGCGGCAUCCUGGACCGGUAUUGACACUGAAAAGCGAAAGCCAGGGGAGCAAACGGG
Molecule: ribosomal RNA, 253 nt
Filed under: uncultured bacterium
Lineage: Bacteria
Description: partial 16S ribosomal RNA
Rfam family: Bacterial small subunit ribosomal RNA
Source: RNAcentral